GACGAACGCUGGCGGCGUGCCUAAUACAUGCAAGUCGAACGCUUCUUUCCUCCCGAGUGCUUGCACUCCAUUGGAAAGAGGAGUGGCGGACGGGUGAGUAACACGUGGGUAACCUACCCAUCAGAGGGGGAUAACACUUGGAAACAGGUGCUAAUACCGCCUAACAGUUUAUGCCGCAUGGCAUAAGAGUGAAAGGCGCUUUCGGGUGUCGCUGAUGGAUGGACCCGCGGUGCAUUAGCUAGUUGGUGAGGUAACGGCUCACCAAGGCCACGAUGCAUAGCCGACCUGAGAGGGUGAUCGGCCACACUGGGACUGAGACACGGCCCAGACUCCUACGGGAGGCAGCAGUAGGGAAUCUUCGGCAAUGGACGAAAGUCUGACCGAGCAACGCCGCGUGAGUGAAGAAGGUUUUCGGAUCGUAAAACUCUGUUGUUAGAGAAGAACAAGGACGUUAGUAACUGAACGUCCCCUGACGGUAUCUAACCAGAAAGCCACGGCUAGCUACGUG
Molecule: ribosomal RNA, 508 nt
Filed under: uncultured bacterium
Lineage: Bacteria
Description: partial 16S ribosomal RNA
Rfam family: Bacterial small subunit ribosomal RNA
Source: RNAcentral